GAUGAACGCUGGCGGCGUGCUUAACACAUGCAAGUCGAACGGUGAAGGCGGAGCUUGCUCUGCUGGAUCAGUGGCGAACGGGUGAGUAACACGUGAGCAAUCUGCCCCUGACUCUGGGAUAAGCGCUGGAAACGGCGUCUAAUACUGGAUACGAGCUGCGAAGGCAUCUUCAGCAGCUGGAAAGAAUUUCGGUCAGGGAUGAGCUCGCGGCCUAUCAGCUUGUUGGUGAGGUAAUGGCUCACCAAGGCGUCGACGGGUAGCCGGCCUGGGAGGGUGACCGGCCACACUGGGACUGAGACACGGCCCAGACUCCUACGGGAGGCGGCAGUGGGGAAUAUUGCACAAUGGGCGAAAGCCUGAUGCAGCAACGCCGCGUGAGGGACGACGGCCUUCGGGUUGUAAACCUCUUUUAGCAGGGAAGAAGCGAAAGUGACGGUACCUGCAGAAAAAGCGCCGGCUAACUACGUG
RNAcentral lists this ribosomal RNA (468 nucleotides) under uncultured bacterium. RNAcentral describes it as "partial 16S ribosomal RNA". It matches the Rfam family "Bacterial small subunit ribosomal RNA", at positions 28 to 507 of the family's 1533-position model. The record is from RNAcentral.